RNAcentral lists this transfer RNA (65 nucleotides) under Marmota monax (woodchuck). RNAcentral describes it as "tRNA.Undet". The record is from RNAcentral. Lineage: Eukaryota; Metazoa; Chordata; Mammalia; Rodentia; Sciuridae.
GGUAAAGCUCAGUGGUAGAGUACUUGCCUUGCAAUAUGAGGUACUGGGUUCAAUCCUCAGCACCA